Molecule: long non-coding RNA, 1138 nt
Filed under: Actinia tenebrosa (Australian red waratah sea anemone)
Lineage: Eukaryota; Metazoa; Cnidaria; Anthozoa; Actiniaria; Actiniidae
Description: uncharacterized LOC116309107, transcript variant X2
Source: RNAcentral
CUCCGAGAAUUUGAAUCCGGAUUUUUCGUUACUCCGUCAUUCUAACAUAGCUUUAUAAGUCAAAGAAUCGUUCACUGAAUUAUGGAAAAGUCAACACAAAGAGUUUUCAGUUGGUAAUACUUGUGUAAGGAUUUUAUUAGUAAAUCGCCGAAGACUGAAGUUAUAAAGACUGUGACGCUAUUCCAAACUUCAGUUACUAUAAAUCAACCAUCGCCAAAAUACUUGAACUCUAGGCACAGUUAACAAGAUUAAAAAAACCGUUCAAUAUGAAGACCACUGUAGCAAUACUGUCCCUAUUCUGCCUGAUUUCGCUUUGCGAGUGUUACACCUCUCUACGUCCAGGGAACUGUAAUCUAUGCUAUAAAAGAUGCAAAGCGAGGGCUGCUGAUGGUUGCUUCUAUAGAUGUAGUAAUCGAGCCUCUCAUGAGAUGAUAUCUUUGUGUUUGGAAAUGUGUUAUAUGUCAGCCCUGGAUUACUGCAUGAAAACGAUCGUGUGCCGAGUAUAAAGCGUUUUCAUUCACGUGACAAGGCAUCCAUAUUUGUUUACCAGACAAUAGAAACUUUCUGCACAAUUUUUGCAUAAAAAUAGAGUUCAAUUCCACGAGGAUAGAAAAUUGUUUUGGUACACCAUUAUGGCUGCUGUGACGUCACGUGAAGACGCUUUAUACAUGUUUACUAUUGUGACGUAUUUCCAGUUAACCGGGGUCAAGGAUAUCAAUGAAGAAAUCUUUCGUUGACGACAGAAGACAUAUUUUGUCAGUUACGUUGUCGGGAUACUUGUCCCUUCAGUGCCAAUUUGUCGAGCUGCGACGUGCAAGAUGAAUCAAUCGAAAAUUGUUUUCCCUGAAGGAAAAUAUUAUAAACGUUUUCACCGAGCGUCAUCCCGCUUUUAUACCGGAAAUGACGUUUAACUUUGGUUGGCCUGUCUUAGUUAAAGGGAACCGGAUAUACGUCACAUGAUAUAAAUAAUGAUUUGUAUAUAUAUGAAUGAAGUGCAUAUGUAUUCUUAGAACGACUGAAGAAUAUGGUUUUGAAUUCAUUAGCACUGGGCUUCCAGUUAAUCAUUAUAGAUAGAAUUUGUGGUUUUGAAGUAGAUUACUGUAAUUUGUAUUGAAAAAAAAGUAUUAAAAAAGUUCCA